Gavialis gangeticus (Gharial) is the source of this 2034-nucleotide long non-coding RNA. RefSeq lists it as uncharacterized. Lineage: Eukaryota; Metazoa; Chordata; Crocodylia; Gavialidae. The record is from RefSeq and is a predicted model, not a curated record. The transcript is spliced from 2 exons.
AAAAUAACUGGCAUAUGGAGGAGCAAAAUAAAUAAAUGUCCAAGAACUUGGAAGCCAAAAAAAUGCACCGUUCACAGGUGACUCAAGGGGAGAAAACGCACAUGUACAACGGCAGUUUUCGUGACAAUGGAACAGAGUACCAGCUAGUUUAGACUUACAGAGGUCUGGAGGGGUUGCAGCUUUUUGUGCAUAGAAAUAAGUAAUAGGUAAGUCUGACAACAAUGCAUUUCAUUUAUAGACUCUCUCAUGGUGCUUUGGUACCCAACAGUUUCCCAUACUCAUCUUACUACAACCCUUGUACCAGAGAAGGUGGGGGAAGUUAAUGCAGCACAUUAAAAAAAAUGUCUGCAUUGGUACAAUGAUAUUCCCCACUGCCUGAAAAGUCUUUGCUUAGAGAAUAAGGUUGUCUGGGAUCCAGGAGACAGAGCCAUUCCGGAAGCCCGCUGCUUUAAGAGAAUGUGGUAACCAUGCUAUAGCCACACACGGUCCUCUUUAGAGCCCCGUGGCUACAUCAUUUAUUGUAGAGGACAGCAGCGUUGUUAGGUCCUGGGGCAGGAAUUGUCUCUUCACGUGUGCCGUGGCAGCACUUAGUGCAGCAGUCUCACCUGGGGCUUGUAGGCAUGACAGCAAUGCAAAUAAAAAUAAUGAGGCCCCAGUCCUGCUGCGCUGAUGCCCAUGGACAUCGUGCUAUUGACUUGGAAAUGGGUCAGCGCCCUGGUGAGAAUUAUAACCGUUUUCUUAUAAGGCAAUUCUGACAACCCAAUAAUACGCCAAGCAUGGAAAGUGCAGGCUUGCUUGCAUAAUGGAAUAUCAGGGCAAGGCAUAUAUACAAUAAUUAUUUAACAAAAAAUAGCAGCACAAAAAUAGGCUGGAUUGUAAAUGGGCUACAUAAAAUUAACUGACCCAGGUCCUAUUGAGAGGGUAUGCUCUGAAUAUUUCUAGCUAUAUUUACAGAAGAACUCUUGUUUCUCAUCCUCCAGGCUUUAAAGUUAUUACCCCACUCAUUAUGCCAAAUAUAUUUUGUAUAAGAGAUAACAUAAACCAUCCUUUGUUUAAGCAGAUUACUAGAAUUAAAUACUACAUUUCAACAGAAUUUAAAAGGGGCACCAAAGCAAGAUAAUACUUCCACCUAUGUGGUGAGGAAUCAUUAAAUUCUGCCUAUGAAAUAGCUAUAGAUUCCAGCUUAAAAUGUACAGAUCAUUAGGAGUUGACAGCAGCAGCCUUUAGAAAUGAUCCAACAGGGUUUAAUGUGAAAAUAAUUUGUGUAGCUAGCUAUUACUCUGUACAUCAAGCACUCAGGUUUUAGUUCUGUUGGGUGAUUAAAAACAUAUCUAAACUAAGGUGCCAGAUUUACUGUAAUAAGUUCUCAUUAUUGUGUCACAGCACUGGUCUAUACAACAUAUUUUCAAGGAAGGAGAUAAGCCCCAUAAAAGCAUAUUUGUGGUUUGCAGAGAAAAUAAUUCUCUCCAGGUAGAAGUGUCACUUUCUUCCAAUGAUCCAUAUUAUGAAAAGGUUAUGAACUGCAGUGCACGUGGUAUCCAGAAAUAGCCUGACUGCCUUCCAGCAAAAUGUCAUUGCCCUGAUAAAACUAAUAAAAAUCCCAAUAGAGGUCUCUCCACUGUAGAUUCUACCUCACACUUAAGGUGAAUGUACAUCCGAGGUUGUAGGAACACCCAUCUGUUCAACCUACAUCAUGCCAGUAUUGAAGGGUAUUAAAUUACUCGGACAAUCUAAUUUCAGUAAUUUAUGGUGCUAGUGGCCAUCAAUAAGAAAUGUGCUGGAGUCAACAUGAAAGAAAGAAGACAAUGCUAAGGUCAGCCAUGUGAUAUCCUCCUUCGUAAGGUGUAUGUGCUACAGUGCUCAUUGGUAUCUUGUACCUCUCUUAGCCGGGUGAUAAAUAUUUGAACCAAUCACUUUAUGUUGUUUUUUUCUGUGGAAAGCAAAAUCAAUCUUGAAGAUGGGCUUUGACCUGGAGCCUAUAUCCAGGUCGGCCUGCUUCUUACAUUUCAAACGAAUAAAAAUUUAAAGACAGCA